GACGAACGCUGGCGGCGUGCUUAACACAUGCAAGUCGAACGGAAAGGCCCUGCUUUUGUGGGGUGCUCGAGUGGCGAACGGGUGAGUAACACGUGAGUAACCUGCCCUUGACUUUGGGAUAACUUCAGGAAACUGGGGCUAAUACCGGAUAGGAGCUCCUGCUGCAUGGUGGGGGUUGGAAAGUUUCGGCGGGUGGGGAUGGACUCGCGGCUUAUCAGCUUGUUGGUGGGGUAGUGGCUUACCAAGGCUUUGACGGGUAGCCGGCCUGAGAGGGUGGCCGGCCACAUUGGGACUGAGAUACGGCCCAGACUCCUACGGGAGGCAGCAGUGGGGAAUAUUGCACAAUGGGCGGAAGCCUGAUGCAGCAACGCCGCGGGCGGGAUGACGGCCUUCGGGUUGUAAACCGCUUUCGCCUGUGACGAAGCGUGAGUGACGGUAAUGGGUAAAGAAGCACCGGCUAACUACGUG
Molecule: ribosomal RNA, 468 nt
Filed under: uncultured bacterium
Lineage: Bacteria
Description: partial 16S ribosomal RNA
Rfam family: Bacterial small subunit ribosomal RNA
Source: RNAcentral